CUACGGGUGGCAGCAGUGAGGAAUAUUGGGCAAUGGGCGAAAGCCUGACCCAGCAACGCCGCGUGGAGGAUGAAUGCCGUAAGGUUGUAAACUCCUUUUGUUAGGGACGAAAAAAUAGGUUUGUAGCCUACAUUGACGGUACCUAACGAAUAAGCCCCGGCUAACUACGUGCCAGCAGCCGCGGUAAUACGUAGGGGGCAAGCGUUGUCCGGAUUAACUGGGUGUAAAGGGCGCGUAGGCGGGCUUAUAAGUCAGAGGUGAAAUCCUACAGCUUAACUGUAGAACUGCCUUUGAAACUGUAAGUCUUGAGUGCGGAAGAGAGAGAUGGAAUUCCAGGUGUAGUGGUGAAAUACGUAGAUAUCUGGAAGAACGCCAGUGGCGAAGGCGAUCUCUUGGUCCGUUACUGACGCUGAGGCGCGAAAGCGUGGGGAGCAAACAGGAUUAGAUACCCCAGUAGUC
RNAcentral lists this ribosomal RNA (459 nucleotides) under uncultured bacterium. RNAcentral describes it as "partial 16S ribosomal RNA". It matches the Rfam family "Bacterial small subunit ribosomal RNA", at positions 339 to 795 of the family's 1533-position model. The record is from RNAcentral.